This 369-nucleotide ribosomal RNA is filed under the name uncultured methanogenic archaeon. Its description in RNAcentral is "bacterial SSU rRNA". It matches the Rfam family "Archaeal small subunit ribosomal RNA", at positions 502 to 871 of the family's 1478-position model. Lineage: Archaea; Methanobacteriati; Methanobacteriota. The record is from RNAcentral.
UAUUGAGUCUAAAACGUUCGUAGCCGGUUUGGUAAAUCUUUGGGUAAAUCGGGAGGCUCAACUUUCCGACUUCCGAAGAGACUGCCAAACUUGGGACCGGGAGAGGCUAGAGGUACUUCUGGGGUAGGGGUAAAAUCCUGUAAUCCUAGAAGGACCACCGGUGGCGAAGGCGUCUAGCUAGAACGGAUCCGACGGUGAGGGACGAAGCCCUGGGUCGCAAACGGGAUUAGAUACCCCGGUAGUCCAGGGUGUAAACGCUGCCGACUUGGUGUUGGAGGCCCUUCGGGGGCAUUCAGUGCCGGAGAGAAGUUGUUAAGUCGGCUACUUGGGGAGUACGUCCGCAAGGAUGAAACUUAAAGGAAUUGGCGG